Molecule: ribosomal RNA, 841 nt
Filed under: uncultured bacterium
Lineage: Bacteria
Description: bacterial SSU rRNA
Rfam family: Bacterial small subunit ribosomal RNA
Source: RNAcentral
ACGAGCGGCGAACGGGUGAGUAACAGGUGGAUAAUCUGCCUUUCCGGAGGGGGACAACGGCUGGAAACGGCCGCUAAUACCGCAUUCGGUUGCCGAGACCUCGGUCUUGGCAAAGAAAGGAGCUUCUGCUCCGCCGGGAGAUGAGUCCGCCCCCCAUUAGCUAGUUGGCGGGAUAACAGCCCACCAAGGCUUCGAUGGGUAGCCGAGCUGAGAGGUUGAUCGGCCACACUGGAACUGAGACACGGUCCAGACACCUACGGGUGGCAGCAGUAGGGAAUAUUGCGCAAUGGGCGAAAGCCUGACGCAGCCAUGCCGCGUGGAUGACGAAGGCCUUCGGGUCGUAAAGCCCUUUUCUGAGGGAAGAACAAGCGGGGGAGUGGAAAGCCCUCGCCCUGACGGUACCUCAGGAAUAAGCAACGGCUAACUCCGUGCCAGCAGCCGCGGUAAUACGGAGGUUGCGAGCGUUGUUCGGAAUUACUGGGCGUAAAGGGAGCGCAGGCGGCCGGGCCAGUCUAAAGUGAAAGCCCACGGCUCAACCGUGGACGUGCUUUGGAUACUAUCCGGCUUGAGUACGUGAGAGGUGAGCGGAAUUCCAGGUGUAGCGGUGAAAUGCGUAGACAUCUGGAGGAACAUCGGUGGCGAAAGCGGCUCACUGGCACGAAACUGACGCUGAGGCUCGAAAGCGUGGGGAGCGAACGGGAUUAGAUACCCCGGUAGUCCACGCCGUAAACGUUGUGCACUAGGUGUGGGAGGUAUCGACCCCUCCCGUGCCGGAGCUAACGCAUUAAGUGCACCGCCUGGGGAGUACGGUCGCAAGACUGAAACUCAAAUGAAUUGACGG